AUCGUUUCUCGGCUCCUCGGAGCUCAGAUCAAGUGUAGUAUCUGUUCUUAUCAGUUUAAUAUCUGGUAGGUCCUUUACAUUAAAGGACUGUAUAUUAAAUGGAUUUUUGAAACAGGGGGAUGGAAGAGGAGCUUGCUCGGUCCACCCUAUGCAUCAACCUGGUAUUGCAGUGUCUCCAGGACCGGUGCGUCUCCU
Chelydra serpentina (North American snapping turtle) is the source of this 195-nucleotide small nuclear RNA. Its record names the gene U2. It matches the Rfam family "U2 spliceosomal RNA". Rfam says of the family: U2 is a small nuclear RNA (snRNA) component of the spliceosome (involved in pre-mRNA splicing). Complementary binding between U2 snRNA (in an area lying towards the 5' end but 3' to hairpin I) and the branchpoint sequence (BPS) of the intron results the bulging out of an unpaired adenosine, on the BPS, which initiates a nucleophilic attack at the intronic 5' splice site, thus starting the first of two transesterification reactions that mediate splicing. The record is from Ensembl. Lineage: Eukaryota; Metazoa; Chordata; Testudines; Chelydridae.